AAAGCGAGGAGGAAUCAAACGACAAGGAUAUAGCGGAAGCAUACAACCAACUUCUUAUUGAUUCGAAAAAGAUGACCAAGCUCAAUAAGAAGUUGAGGCGUCGUUUAUUGGACAUUGAAGAGGAGAACAAAAAUUUGAAGACAAUGAAUAAAGCUCUUGAGGAGGAAAAGGAAUCAAUUUCGAAGAAUAACUUAAUCCUCCAAGAGAAACUUGAUGAAGCGGAAUCAACGAUCAAAUCGUAUAAAGACAAGGUUGGAUUUUUGGAGCAACAAUUUGAGGAAUCG
Molecule: long non-coding RNA, 284 nt
Filed under: Ananas comosus (pineapple)
Lineage: Eukaryota; Viridiplantae; Streptophyta; Magnoliopsida; Poales; Bromeliaceae
Description: long non-coding RNA (ACOM_LNC041981)
Source: RNAcentral